Molecule: ribosomal RNA, 1282 nt
Filed under: Microbacterium flavescens
Lineage: Bacteria; Bacillati; Actinomycetota; Actinomycetes; Micrococcales; Microbacteriaceae
Also listed under: 1 other name
Description: bacterial SSU rRNA
Rfam family: Bacterial small subunit ribosomal RNA
Source: RNAcentral
AACGGGUGAGUAACACGUGAGCAAUCUGCCCCUGACUCUGGGAUAAGCGCUGGAAACGGCGUCUAAUACUGGAUACGAACCGUGGAGGCAUCUUCAACGGUUGGAAAGAUUUUUUGGUCAGGGAUGAGCUCGCGGCCUAUCAGCUUGUUGGUGAGGUAAUGGCUCACCAAGGCGUCGACGGGUAGCCGGCCUGAGAGGGUGACCGGCCACACUGGGACUGAGACACGGCCCAGACUCCUACGGGAGGCAGCAGUGGGGAAUAUUGCACAAUGGGCGCAAGCCUGAUGCAGCAACGCCGCGUGAGGGAUGACGGCCUUCGGGUUGUAAACCUCUUUUAGCAGGGAAGAAGCGAAAGUGACGGUACCUGCAGAAAAAGCGCCGGCUAACUACGUGCCAGCAGCCGCGGUAAUACGUAGGGCGCAAGCGUUAUCCGGAAUUAUUGGGCGUAAAGAGCUCGUAGGCGGUUUGUCGCGUCUGCUGUGAAAUCCCGAGGCUCAACCUCGGGUCUGCAGUGGGUACGGGCAGACUAGAGUGCGGUAGGGGAGAUUGGAAUUCCUGGUGUAGCGGUGGAAUGCGCAGAUAUCAGGAGGAACACCGAUGGCGAAGGCAGAUCUCUGGGCCGUAACUGACGCUGAGGAGCGAAAGGGUGGGGAGCAAACAGGCUUAGAUACCCUGGUAGUCCACCCCGUAAACGUUGGGAACUAGUUGUGGGGUCCAUUCCACGGAUUCCGUGACGCAGCUAACGCAUUAAGUUCCCCGCCUGGGGAGUACGGCCGCAAGGCUAAAACUCAAAGGAAUUGACGGGGACCCGCACAAGCGGCGGAGCAUGCGGAUUAAUUCGAUGCAACGCGAAGAACCUUACCAAGGCUUGACAUAUACGAGAACGCUGCAGAAAUGUAGAACUCUUUGGACACUCGUAAACAGGUGGUGCAUGGUUGUCGUCAGCUCGUGUCGUGAGAUGUUGGGUUAAGUCCCGCAACGAGCGCAACCCUCGUUCUAUGUUGCCAGCACGUAAUGGUGGGAACUCAUGGGAUACUGCCGGGGUCAACUCGGAGGAAGGUGGGGAUGACGUCAAAUCAUCAUGCCCCUUAUGUCUUGGGCUUCACGCAUGCUACAAUGGCCGGUACAAAGGGCUGCAAUACCGUAAGGUGGAGCGAAUCCCAAAAAGCCGGUCCCAGUUCGGAUUGAGGUCUGCAACUCGACCUCAUGAAGUCGGAGUCGCUAGUAAUCGCAGAUCAGCAACGCUGCGGUGAAUACGUUCCCGGGUCUUGUACACACCGCC